This 446-nucleotide long non-coding RNA is filed under the name Brassica napus (rape). Its description in RNAcentral is "long non-coding RNA (BNAP_LNC019434)". The record is from RNAcentral. Lineage: Eukaryota; Viridiplantae; Streptophyta; Magnoliopsida; Brassicales; Brassicaceae.
UUUUUGUCUAUGGAGACUUCGUCCCUGAAUAGUUAUGUUGUCGUUAUCUAAAGAUGUUCAGUUAUGUCCACCAUGUGGUCAUUUGUGUGGUAUAACCGUCAUUAUAGGGAUUGCAACCCUCUUUUGUUUUGACUCCGUCGGUUUCUAGAUGCUUGUGUAGUGUAUUAAAAUGUUCAAAGUUUGCUAGGUAGUAGAUAAUUUUUUGUUCUGUUCUGGAUAUUAAGCAUGGGUUUCGUAGUGGUCAGUUUCUCGACAUGUGUUUUGGAUUGUCAAGCACAAGGGUUUGGUUAUUUAGAAAGCGAUAUGUCUGGUUGAUGCGUGGAUUCUAUGGUUAGUUCAAGCAAUGUGUGGGCAGCGCUUGUAAAAUACAACAGUCGAAGCAUCUUGAACUUGCCACUAAGUUGUUACAAGUAGCGUUUUCUGGCCUACGAGUGAUAGAUAUCAGU